CCUACGGGAGGCAGCAGUGGGGAAUAUUGCACAAUGGGCGCAAGCCUGAUCCAGCAAUUCCGCGUGUGGGAUGAAGGCCUUCGGGUUGUAAACCACUUUUGUAGAGAACGAAAAUGAUACUUUUAAUCAAGUAAGCUGCUGCUGGUACCCUCCGAAUAACCACCGGAUAACUACGUGCCAGCAGCCGCGGUAAUACGUAGGGUGCGAGAGUUAAUCGGAAUUACUGGGCGUAACGGGUGCGCAGGCGGUUGAGUAAGACAGAUGUGAAAUCCCCGGGCUUAACCCGGGAAUGGCAUAUGAGACUGGUAGACUAGAGUGUGGGAGAGGUAGGUGGAAUUCCACGUGUAGCGGUGAAAUGCGUAGAGAUGUGGAGGAAUACUGAUGGCGAAGGCGGCCUCCUGGAACAUAACUGACGCUCAGGCGCGAAAGCGUGGGGAGCAAACAGGAUUAGAUACCCUGGUAGUC
Molecule: ribosomal RNA, 465 nt
Filed under: uncultured bacterium
Lineage: Bacteria
Description: partial 16S ribosomal RNA
Rfam family: Bacterial small subunit ribosomal RNA
Source: RNAcentral